GGGCGUAAAGAGCUCGUAGGCGGUUGGUCGCGUCUGCUGUGAAAACCCGAGGCUCAACCUCGGGCCUGCAGUGGGUACGGGCCAACUAGAGUGCGGUAGGGGAGAUCGGAAUUCCUGGUGUAGCGGUGGAAUGCGCAGAUAUCAGGAGGAACACCAAUGGCGAAGGCAGAUCUCUGGGCCGUAACUGACGCUGAGGAGCGAAAGCGUGGGGAGCGAACAGGAUUAGAUACCCUGGUAGUCCACGCCGUAAACGGUGGGAACUAGUUGUAGGGGCCAUUCCACGGCUUCUGUGACGAAGCUAACGCAUUAAGUUCCCCGCCUGGGGAGUACGGCCGCAAGGCUAAAACUCAAAGGAAUUGACGGGGGCCCGCACAAGCGGCGGAGCAUGCGGAUUAAUUCGAUGCAACGCGAAGAACCUUACCAAGGCUUGACAUAUAGAGGAAACGUGCAGAGAUGUACGCCCCGCAAGGUCUCUAUACAGGUGGUGCAUGGUUGUCGUCAGCUCGUGUCGUGAGAUGUUGGGUUAAGUCCCGCAACGAGCGCAACCCUCGUCCUAUGUUGCCAGCACGUAAUGGUGGGAACUCAUGGGAGACUGCCGGGGUCAACUCGGAGGAAGGUAAU
This 621-nucleotide ribosomal RNA is filed under the name uncultured Actinomycetes bacterium. RNAcentral's name for it is "bacterial SSU rRNA". It matches the Rfam family "Bacterial small subunit ribosomal RNA", at positions 556 to 1177 of the family's 1533-position model. The record is from RNAcentral. Lineage: Bacteria; Bacillati; Actinomycetota; Actinomycetes.